AAGUAAUGAAGUAAUAAUUACAUUUAGUUUCGACCUAAAAUUAGAGCGUAAACUCCUUACUUA
Molecule: transfer RNA, 63 nt
Filed under: Acanthaspis pedestris
Lineage: Eukaryota; Metazoa; Arthropoda; Insecta; Hemiptera; Reduviidae
Description: tRNA-Arg
Source: RNAcentral